GCCCCGUAGCUCAGGGGAUAGAGCAACGGCCUCCGGAGCCGUGUGCGCAGGUUCGAAUCCUGCCGGGGGCA
This 71-nucleotide transfer RNA is filed under the name Streptomyces tuirus. RNAcentral describes it as "tRNA-Arg". It matches the Rfam family "tRNA". From Rfam's summary of the family: Transfer RNA (tRNA) molecules are approximately 80 nucleotides in length. Their secondary structure includes four short double-helical elements and three loops (D, anti-codon, and T loops). Lineage: Bacteria; Bacillati; Actinomycetota; Actinomycetes; Kitasatosporales; Streptomycetaceae. The record is from RNAcentral. RNAcentral also lists the same sequence under 1 other name.